CUGACUGACAUUAAAGGAACCCCUGCAACCACAAGCAAGAAUUACAGAAUGCCAGGUUGGAAGGGACCUCAAGGAUCAUCUGGUCCACCUUUUUAGGCUGGAUCCUGUUACCAAUUGUCAGUUCUUCCAACAGAACAGGAGGGAAGACUAUCCAGGAUAUCAACAGGUGCUAUGGGGCAUCCUUCAGGGAA
Apus apus (common swift) is the source of this 191-nucleotide long non-coding RNA. RefSeq lists it as uncharacterized. The transcript has 3 exons. NCBI's taxonomy places the organism in Eukaryota, Metazoa, Chordata, Aves, Apodiformes, Apodidae. The record is from RefSeq and is a predicted model, not a curated record.